GUGGAGCUCUAUGUGGAUGUUAUGUCUUCCAACACACCAUCAAAGAGCCCUGUAUACAACCACAAGCUCGCAUUUCUUGUCGACUUCACACACAAGAAACAUGCUCCAAAAAAGAUGAAUGGAUGGCAAGGUGGAGACUGUGAAGGUUGCUAACAAGUGUGCUCAGGGUUAUGCGGCUAGUGAGUGAGAUGCAGAACUCAAAUCAGCUGCCUGUCUGACAAGGGCAAGAUUCUGCUGCUGCUGCUGCCGCCCACACCCACCCGGCAGUUUAUACUGUGACCUGGCAGGUCUGCAGAAGACACGGGAGAGAAAAUAGCAAGGUUCCAGUUGAAAGGAAACUCAGAGUUUAUGGGGAUAGAUGUUUGAAAAACUGUAGCAGACCUCUGCAGCACAGUCAGGAAAUUAUGGGGGUACAAACAUUUUGGUUACACGUUAUGACUUUUCCACAUCCCAAUCAUGAUUUGAGAAGCACCCUUCUGCCCACAACACUAGCC
Molecule: non-coding RNA, 494 nt
Organism: Microcebus murinus (gray mouse lemur)
Lineage: Eukaryota; Metazoa; Chordata; Mammalia; Primates; Cheirogaleidae
Source: RefSeq, a predicted model, not a curated record